This is a long non-coding RNA of Lolium perenne, 2850 nucleotides long. RefSeq lists it as uncharacterized. NCBI's taxonomy places the organism in Eukaryota, Viridiplantae, Streptophyta, Magnoliopsida, Poales, Poaceae. The record is from RefSeq and is a predicted model, not a curated record.
CUGCUCCCUCUCUCCCCUUUUAAGCCACUUAGGCACUUCGCCAAACCCUAGACCACCUCCCAUCCCGGCGCCGCCAUCCGCUCCAACCUCCAUGUCUAUUUCCUUCACGAACAAGGAGAGCCCAAAGCGUCCGCCUCCCAGACCACCAUGGAGCCGCCCCUACCAGCCGCCCCUCGACGAGCCGAAGCCACAUAAAGAUGCGCCUUGAUGUCCUUGUUCUCCACACCAUAGGAAUCGAGCUCGGACGCUCCCAGUCGCCGCUAAUCUCGUCGUUUCUUCUUCGUCUCCGGCGGCGACAUUUGACGAUUCCGGCUGGCCUAGUCCUUCCCCGGCCUCCUCGUCUGCGCCAGGAGCUUCAGGGAGCUCGACGCCGGUGAUGCUCUGGUGACCCCCUGGACCCCUCAUGGUCACCAUCUGUUUCCCCACGUUGAGGCGCAUCUCCGACGCCAACUACCCCAUCCUGGUUCACCCUGAAUCGCGGGAUUGACUAUCGAGAUGGUGCUUCCCCGCCAUGAAUGUUCUGGUCCAGAUCUCCGCCAGGACAUACCUCAAAAUGCAGCGCAUCUGCAUGUUGUCACAUACGAGCAGCAGCUCAGCUUGUUCGUUCCUUUGUUUCAGAUAGGGUGUCUCAGGUUCAAAUGUCAUCGGAGGCAGAGUUUUUCUCAACCCUUUUCUUUCUCUGGUUUUUCUCAGAUCCGGCGCCUGAUGGGCCUUGGCUUUGAUCCUCCCGAAAGCCCGUUGCUCCGCGUGUUCAGUAGCCUCUCGUCACCAAUGCAGGCCUAGAUCGGGCCUAGACAGCGCAAAUAUUUAAAACUUGCAAAAAUCAUAUCUUAUGUUUCGUAACUCAGAAUAAAAAGUAUUUUAUAUGAAUUUCGAUCAGAAAUAUGUGAAGAACAUGAAUAUACCAUCCAAAUGCUUGUUUGCAUUUCGCUCAUGUCGUUUCAUGAUAGUUUUGCAUAAUCACCUAACAUAUACGCGGAGUAUUUCGGAACACCGACUAGGUUUCCCCACUCCGUUUAAUAUUGAAGUAGCUCACCCUUGCCAUGUUGUGCCAUGCUAAUCAACACUUAACUUUGUCGGUAGGAAAUGCAACUUCAACUCUAAUUGUUUGUCCGGGUUCUGAUCCCGCUUAAUUUGGAUAAGCUGCAUUGCACCAUCGCUGCCAUGUCAUGCAUAUCAUCUUGCUCAUGCUGAUUCUUCUUUAUCCGUAGUAGUAAUAUUUUGCAUCUGAUGUUUGUUGUAGCAUUUGCUUCUUCCCGGAUAGGAUCGCGAAGUGGUGCGGUGAGAUACGACGAGUUCUUCGACAAGUGCUUCUGUGGCUUUUCACAGGCGAGCCCUCCCUCUUCACCUAUUUUAUACUUUGCUCUCCCUCUCACUGCUAUCCUUAUGUUGCGCUUCUUCAUCGAGUCACGUGUCCUAUUCCACUUAUUUACCAUAAUAAUCCUAUAUGUAUCAUUCCUUACCCAUAGUCGUUGCUUGAUGUUUGAGUCUUGCGAGUCGUAGGCGUGUUUAGGCUCUGUUGUUUAUCUCGGUCUGUUAUCGAGAUAUGUUGGGUUGUUGGGAGGAUAUCACAUGCUAUAUUAGUUUGUUGGAGAUACACAGCUUUACUUAAUUGUUAACAACUAAAAUUGUAAGAAGAGGCAUCUGUGAGCCCCUUUGCGAAAGCAUCGGAACUUUGACUCGCUAAUGUCCCCUAGGACCCGAGUUCUUGUUAUCUGUUCCGAGACUGAGCGCUCUAUCCACACGUGGGUAUGCUUACCGGAUCUCCCCUCGACCACUGCCGGAAUCUACACCUUUGUCCAGUGGCCACAAUUAGUUUGAAUGUUUGUUUGUUUCUCCCGGGCGUGCAAGCAUGUUUCUUUGUAGUCAGAUGAUAUGAUGUUACUUUUGGGGAAGCCAUGAGUGCCUUGUAACCCCGUUGUCUCUUGCACGCUCGUAGGUGCGGUCCGCAUUGGUAAGAGGUCAUCCUCUAGUGGGCUCUGAUCCUCUUAGCCGUUCUCGCAACAGCUAGGUCCGCUUCGGAGUUUCGAUUGGGCACCGAAACGGGUUAACUUAGUUAGGUGGCUUUCUGGAAAUUGCUGUUGUGAAGGAAAGUGUGAGUCGUGAUAUCCACCUGUCGCAAGUGGGUUGAGCGUGCAUGUGGGCACAUUUGGGCACCCCUGCAGGGUUACAAUCUUAUCGAUAAGUCGUGUCCACGGUUAUGGAAUACUUGGAAUUGUAUGACUUGAUUAUAGAACAACUUACACCUUAUACUUGUUGUUAAUAAUUUGAUAAUAACUUACGUAGUAAUAUAGCAUUACUACAUCUGACACCUAAUAAAACCGGUCCACCGUUGAGUGUCUUUUACAUUGCCUCUUUGCUUUGUUGAAGGGGAUAUGUGUAAUUGGUUGGGUUAUGUUUGCGUAGUAUUUUAUCUGUUAUCUUGUGCGCUCUCUAAUCUUCUCUGAUUGGUUGGGUUAUAGUUUUGCUGCCGCUAAACCUACCAUAUAGCCCCAGGUGAUAUAUUCGCCCGGCGAGCAUAGCCAUUUCUAGUCUGGCUAAGUACGUGCCGGAGUUCGUUCCUUUGUACUUACUCUCGCCUUUUCUCUUUUGCUUCCUCCCUUUUGUCGGCAACCGAUGGCCCGACUUCGACAGGUACAAGAUGAUGACGUUCGCAAGGUUACCCUUCCGGCUUGGCCUGGGCAGGGUUAUGGACGCCACUGGUUAUCUUCAGGACUCUUAGUCCAAUUUGUAUCUUGUCCGUACUCAGACGUAUUCGAUCUUCUGUAUGAAUUGGAUCUUUGUAUUGUAUAUUUGUAUCUUGACUCGUUGGAGUCGUUGUUGUAAUAUAUAUGUUUCUUGUGGGCUCUA